Molecule: long non-coding RNA, 436 nt
Organism: Nothoprocta perdicaria
Lineage: Eukaryota; Metazoa; Chordata; Aves; Tinamiformes; Tinamidae
Exons: 3
Source: RefSeq, a predicted model, not a curated record
GCAGUUGACUUUGGCUGGGCCCUGUUGAUMUGGACCUCAACCUACUGACUGCUUUCUCUGCUUGACCUCAGAACUGCCUCAGUAUUAGGAGCUUGCGUGAUCAUCUGGGCUCCUGGAUGAACCUGCCUCUCUGGGGCUGCUCCAGCUGCCUGUUUGGGAGCCCUGGGACAGUGAGAUCCUGUUCCCUGCCUCCCCAUGCCUCGGGGAGCAGCCAGCUCAUGCUAGUGAUAGAACAACUGACCUCUGCUAGUUGGGAGAAUUGGUGCCACGUUUAUCUUAGAAGAUAAAAUAACUGCUGCUAUAAGAGCACAAUAUACUGAAUGGAUCCUCAGCUGAUCUUAUGARUAUCCAUGACUUCUGCCCUUCCACUUCUUACAGCCGUAUCCUCUCUCUGAAGUCUGCAUUAAAACUCGCAGGCACAACCAGAGUGCAAGCA